UGCAUAGUACUGUAUAGUGUGUGCAUAGUGUAGCAUAGUAAAAUCAAUUUUUUUUAGAAACUCAGCCGUUUACUCCCGUGAAAUUUUUUUCUGUGCAGUCCGUGAUUUUUCUUAAAUAGUAUCCUUCCAUUCUCCUAUAAAUAAGAUGCUCAGUUUAGAAAUAAAAAUCACACCAGAAUCAGAAAAUUCUUCUUCUAUAAUAUUGAGUGUAUUUCUAUAGAGUUUAAGGAAGUUUUGAGUGUAGAAAAUAGAGUAAGUUUUUUUCAAGAAUAUCCCCGCU
This 280-nucleotide long non-coding RNA is filed under the name Panax ginseng (ginseng). Its description in RNAcentral is "long non-coding RNA (PGIN_LNC014000)". The record is from RNAcentral. Lineage: Eukaryota; Viridiplantae; Streptophyta; Magnoliopsida; Apiales; Araliaceae.